Molecule: unclassified non-coding RNA, 257 nt
Filed under: uncultured bacterium
Lineage: Bacteria
Description: contains 16S-23S intergenic spacer region
Source: RNAcentral
AAUUUUUUUCUUUCCUUAUGGAAAAGAAUGCUCUCACUGAACCUCUCCCUCAGUCUCUCUAUCUCCCUCAACUUCUUUCUCUUACUCACUCCCUAAAUCUCACCUUUUUCACGUCACCUUCCUGCACCAUUUUUGCUUUGUUUUCUUCAUAAAUUAGGUUUGUACCUUAGGUAUUUAUGUAGUAAUUACUUGGUCUGUUUAUUUCUUUUGAAAUUUUGCUUUAUGUUCAAUUUUUGUGCAUUGCUUCAUUAUGUUCA